AACUCGGCAAAAUGACCCCGUAACUUCGGGAUAAGGGGAGCCUACGCGAGUAGGCCGCAGAGAAUAGUCUCAAGCGACUGUUUAGCAAAAACACAGGUCUAUGCUAAAUCGAAAGAUGAUGUAUAUGGGCUGACGCCUGCCCGGUGCUGGAAGGUUAAGGGGAAGUGUUAGAGCAAUCGAAGCACUGAACUUAAGCCCCAGUAAACGGCGGCCGUAACUAUAACGGUCCUAAGGUAGCGAAAUUCCUUGUCAGGUAAGUUCUGACCCGCACGAAUGGCGUAACGACUUGAGAGCUGUCUCAACAACAUACCCGGCGAAAUUGAAGUACUGGUAAAGAUGCCAGUUACCCGUGAUAAGACGGAAAGACCCCAUGGAGCUUUACUGUAACUUGAUAUUGAAUUUUUGUAUUACAUGUACAGGAUAGGUGGGAGACAGAGAACUAAUGCCGCCAGGUGUUAGGGAGUCGAUGUUGGGAUACCACUCUUGUAAUAUGAAGGUUCUAACCUGCACCCGUGAAUCCGGGUGGGGGACACUGUCAGGUGGACAGUUUGACUGGGGCGGUCGCCUCCUAAAAGGUAACGGAGGCGUUCAAAGGUUGGUUCAGCACGGACGGAAAUCGUGCAACGAGUGCAAACGCAUAAACCAGCCUAACUGCGAGACCGACAAGUCGAGCAGUAACGAAAGUUGGAGUUAGUGAUCCGGCGGUAUGAGAGUGGAAUUGCCGUCGCUCAACGGAUAAAAGCUACCCUGGGGAUAACAGGCUGAUCUCCCCCAAGAGUCCACAUCGACGGGGAGGUUUGGCACCUCGAUGUCGGCUCAUCGCAUCCUGGAGCUGUAGUCGGUUCCAAGGGUUGGGCUGUUCGCCCAUUAAAGCGGUACGCGAGCUGGGUUCAGAACGUCGCGAGACAGUUCGGUCCCUAUCUAUCACGGGCGUAGGAAAUUUGAGGAGAGCUGACCUUAGUACGAGAGGACCGGGUUGGACGUACCGCUGGUGCACCUGUUGUUCUGCCAAGGGCAUAGCAGGGUAGCUAAGUACGGACGGGAUAAACGCUGAAGGCAUCUAAGCGUGAAGCCCCCUUCGAGAUAAGAUUUCCCAUAGCGUAGGCUAGUAAGGACCCAUGAAGACUACAUGGUUGAUAGGCCGGAGGUGGAAGUGCAGUAAUGUAUGUAGCUGACCGGUACUAAUAGUCCGAGGGCUUGACCAA
Molecule: ribosomal RNA, 1205 nt
Filed under: human gut metagenome
Description: bacterial LSU rRNA
Rfam family: Bacterial large subunit ribosomal RNA
Source: RNAcentral